AUAUAGCUCAGAGGUAGAGCACUUGCCUAAUACGCAUAAAGCCCUGGAUUUAAUCCCUAGUAU
Molecule: transfer RNA, 63 nt
Filed under: Cavia porcellus (domestic guinea pig)
Lineage: Eukaryota; Metazoa; Chordata; Mammalia; Rodentia; Caviidae
Rfam family: tRNA
About the family: Transfer RNA (tRNA) molecules are approximately 80 nucleotides in length. Their secondary structure includes four short double-helical elements and three loops (D, anti-codon, and T loops).
Source: Rfam by way of RNAcentral